Molecule: ribosomal RNA, 492 nt
Filed under: uncultured bacterium
Lineage: Bacteria
Description: bacterial SSU rRNA
Rfam family: Bacterial small subunit ribosomal RNA
Source: RNAcentral
AGGAUGAACGCUGGCGGCGUGCUUAAUACAUGCAAGUCGAACGAAGCACCUGCGACGGAUCCCGUCGGGUGAAGAUGCUUGUGACUGAGUGGCGGACGGGUGAGUAACGCGUGGUAACCUGCCUAUGCAGGGGACAACAGUUAGAAAUGACUGCUAAUACCGCAUAAGCGCACGAGACCGCAUGGCCAAGUGUGAAAAGAUUUAUCGGCAUAAGAUGGACCCGCGUCUGAUUAGGUAGUUGGUGAGGUAACGGCCCACCAAGCCGACGAUCAGUAGCCGACUUGAGAGAGUGAUCGGCCACAUUGGGACUGAGACACGGCCCAGACUCCUACGGGAGGCAGCAGUAGGGAAUAUUGCACAAUGGGGGAAACCCUGAUGCCAGCGACGCCGCGUGAGUGAUUGAAGUAUUUCGGUACGUAAAGCUCUAUCAGCAGGGAAGAUAAUGACGGUACCUGACUAAGAAGCCCCGGCUAACUACGUGCCAGCCGCCGC